RNAcentral lists this ribosomal RNA (357 nucleotides) under uncultured bacterium. RNAcentral describes it as "bacterial SSU rRNA". It matches the Rfam family "Bacterial small subunit ribosomal RNA", at positions 29 to 368 of the family's 1533-position model. The record is from RNAcentral.
AACGAACGCUGGCGGCGUGGAUAAGACAUGCAAGUCGAACGGGACUAAAUCUGUAGCAAUACAGGUUUAGUUUAGUGGCGAACGGGUGCGUAACACGUGGGCAAUCUGCCGAGAAGUGGGGGAUAGCUCGCCGAAAGGACGAAUUAAUACCGCAUAUGAUCAGCUAAGACAUCUUAGCGACAUCAAAGCCGGGGUAACCGUGGCGCUUCUUGAUGAGCCCGCCGGCCUAUCAGCUAGUUGGUGAGGUAACGGCUCACCAAGGCUAUGACGGGUAGCUGGUCUGAGAGGACGACCAGUCACACUGGAACUGAGACACGGUCCAGACACCUACGGGUGGCAGCAGUCGAGUAAUUUUUC